GGCUCCAAUUUGGACUUGAACUCGAGACCUCACAGUCCUAGAGAUGACUCUAGUACCACUGAGUCGAAGGUAGUUGGUAUCUUCUACCUCUUCCUCUGCUUGUAUCUCCGUGUGUGUUCAGUGUGCAGCUUGAGCAAUGCUCAUGUUACGUAUAUAUUAUCAGCUGGGAUAUUCACAUUCCUCUUUUAAAAGAAUCAGAUCCCAAUGCACCUAAUACGCUGGCAGCAGAGGAAUCUUCCAUUGCUUUUCCCCAUAUUAAAUUUCUUAUAAUAAGAGAAUACUUGGAAAGGAAAAUGGGACCGCAAACCAUACCAUUAAAGAAUUAUACGAAGCACUUGUUCUUUCGAUUGGCUUCUAUUAAGGCGUGGAUUGCGCACGAAUAUUGACUCACUGAGUGC
This 398-nucleotide unclassified non-coding RNA is filed under the name Hevea brasiliensis (rubber tree). Lineage: Eukaryota; Viridiplantae; Streptophyta; Magnoliopsida; Malpighiales; Euphorbiaceae. The record is from RNAcentral.